UACGUAGGGUGCGAGCGUUGUCCGGAAUUAUUGGGCGUAAAGAGCUCGUAGGCGGUCUGUCGCGUCGGUCGUGAAAACUUGGGGCUUAACCCUGAGCUUGCGGUCGAUACGGGCAUGACUAGAGUUCGGCAGGGGAGACUGGAAUUCCUGGUGUAGCGGUGAAAUGCGCAGAUAUCAGGAGGAACACCGGUGGCGAAGGCGGGUCUCUGGGCCGAUACUGACGCUGAGGAGCGAAAGCGUGGGGAGCGAACAGG
This 254-nucleotide ribosomal RNA is filed under the name uncultured bacterium. Its description in RNAcentral is "partial 16S ribosomal RNA". It matches the Rfam family "Bacterial small subunit ribosomal RNA", at positions 524 to 776 of the family's 1533-position model. The record is from RNAcentral.